UGGGGAAUAUUGGACAAUGGGCGCAAGCCUGAUCCAGCCAUGCCGCGUGAGUGAUGACGGCCCUAGGGUUGUAAAGCUCUUUUACCUGGGAAGAUAAUGACGGUACCAGGAGAAUAAGCCCCGGCUAACUUCGUGCCAGCAGCCGCGGUAAUACGAAGGGGGCUAGCGUUGUUCGGAUUUACUGGGCGUAAAGCGCACGUAGGCGGACGCUUAAGUCAGGGGUGAAAUCCCGAGGCUCAACCUCGGAACUGCCUUUGAUACUGGGUGUCUUGAGUCCGGGAGAGGUGAGUGGAACUGCGAGUGUAGAGGUGAAAUUCGUAGAUAUUCGCAAGAACACCAGUGGCGAAGGCGGCUCACUGGCCCGGUACUGACGCUGAGGUGCGAAAGCGUGGGGAGCAAAC
RNAcentral lists this ribosomal RNA (401 nucleotides) under uncultured bacterium. RNAcentral's name for it is "bacterial SSU rRNA". It matches the Rfam family "Bacterial small subunit ribosomal RNA", at positions 355 to 773 of the family's 1533-position model. The record is from RNAcentral.